Molecule: transfer-messenger RNA, 415 nt
Filed under: Candidatus Gastranaerophilaceae
Lineage: Bacteria; Bacillati; Candidatus Melainabacteria; Candidatus Gastranaerophilales
Also listed under: 1 other name
Description: UBA2883 sp002481545 Standard tmRNA
Rfam family: transfer-messenger RNA
About the family: Bacterial tmRNA, also known as 10Sa RNA or SsrA, is named for its dual tRNA and mRNA-like properties. Its role is to liberate the mRNA from a stalled ribosome.
Source: RNAcentral
GGGGAUGUUUUGGAUUUGACAGGGUGAUUGAUUAAAUCAGGCUGCGAGUCCGAGCGCUGUUCUCGGUUAUCAACGAGCAAACCAAUUUAAACGCUGAAAAUAACGUUGUAGAUGCAACUGCAGCUUUCGCUGCACGUAGAGCUCCUGAAGCUCUUGCUGCCUAAUUUACGCAGUAUGCUACCCAUAGGUUGUCCACCUUACCGAUGUCUAUGGGCCACCAUGCAAGGACAAGGUUAAGAUAGCGGUAUUAACCCCAAGUUAACCGCCGAAGGUUAGUCGUUCCGCAAAAACGACUUUGGUAAAUGCUUUGGUUUAGUAUUUUCCCAACAUUUAUUAAGAUAAAUAAGAUACUACGCCCGUAGAUGUUUGCUUUAAUCCAUUUUGGACGUGGGUUCGAAUCCCACCAUCUCCACCA